This 1042-nucleotide long non-coding RNA is filed under the name Phascolarctos cinereus (koala). RNAcentral's name for it is "lncRNA (ENSPCIG00000009466.2)". The record is from RNAcentral. Lineage: Eukaryota; Metazoa; Chordata; Mammalia; Diprotodontia; Phascolarctidae.
AGGAAGAAAACGAAUACAAUUGCAAAGGCAGUCAAUAUAUUGAAAAAUGUUGUAGACUAUAGAUAAUAUUGCACCCCCUUGUAUUGAGCCCUUCUGUAAAAGAGUGAGGAUUAGGAGUCUCUUCUCACAUCUUCUCUUUGGGUCAGGUUUGCUCUUUAAAGUUUGCAACUUUAUCUGCAUUGUUGUACAGAGAAUAAUUAAAAUUUCCUGCAAAUGUGUCAUUAGGAUUUACCCUCUGUGCUUGUGAAUUUGGACUGUUGAGCAUUGGCUCCUGUGGGUUUCUGAGGAUGUUUCCAAAGUUGGUAGCCUGAAUGCUUUAGAAAUGAUAACUUUCUCACUUGGACUACACUUUUUGGAAGUUGGUUCAAAGUCCUUAUUGUGCUUUCACAUGUUUUGCCUUGGAAGGGGUAUUGAGAAAACGAUUCUAAUCUCCUUCGAACAUCUUUUCUGCCUAAAAAAUUACCAAAACAAAAAGUUCAAAGUAGUCUCAGUUCAAAAUUUUGACUUUGAAUUUCUUUAAAAAUAUUUUUUUCUCUCUUCCUAACAAUGUUUCUUUUCUACAGGAAAAAAUUGAAGUGGAAAGUGGAACUGAAGAGGAAAAUGGUUUUGAUGAUUAUUCAAUUCUGUUAUCUCUCUGGAGAACCAGGAAAACAUUAAUGAGGAAGAAAAUAUCACCAUAAAGGAAAACAUGACUAAAAAGGAAAACAUUUAUGAUGCUUCGACUCUACUAUCUUCCUGGACAAACAGAGAAACUGAAUUCAGGAAACAAGAACUGACAAGAAAAAUCAUUUUGCAAGAGCAAACGCAGGCAUUCCUCACGGACAUCAAAGAGUUGUAUGCCGUGGAAAGUGAUGAACAUUCGGAAGAGGAAAACAUCCUUGAAAUGGAAAGAAUGAUUGAAAAUGAAACCGCUCUUAAUGAGGAAAACAUCACAGAAACAAAAACCACCACUGGGAAGAAAUCUAUUCGUUAUACUGGUUGGACCCUGGCCCGUCUCUGGACAAUCAGGAAAUCAAUGAUGACAAGGAGAAGAACGAAUUGA